This 564-nucleotide small RNA is filed under the name Pongo abelii (Sumatran orangutan). RNAcentral's name for it is "processed transcript". The record is from RNAcentral. Lineage: Eukaryota; Metazoa; Chordata; Mammalia; Primates; Hominidae.
AGUGCGUCUGUGGAGGCGGUCCUGUGACGAAAAGCUAUUCCGAAGUUUGGAAUGUUGACGAUGGUCGUGUUAUUUUUAACUUCCUGAUAUUUGAACGGCCAGGUGUCAGCGACCAUCCUUCCGUUCCACAGAAGCGUCUCUGAAGUUUGGGUCGGAUGCGCGGGGAACCCGCGGCAGGCGCGGGGAGGAGGCCUUGGCUAGGGCGCCGGCGAGGAAAUGUGAAACUGGUCUCAAUCGGUUGACCACCGUAAGGAAAUGGGAUUUACACUGUGGACAGAGAUGUGUCCUUUUCACUUCAUUUGAACCAAUAUGCCCGUGCCCCCGUGGAGGCUGAGUUGGAAAGUGACACGAAGCUGCCCCCACAAGAGAGCAGAAAAAGAUGUUGCUGGUCCAUUUGACAAAGAAGUCCAGAGCUGCUUGUGACUUCAGUCUGGCUCUGCAGAGCCCAGGUGCUCUCUCCACCUCCUGCCAGAUUCCCCUACGAAGGCUUUGCUCUCAGACUCUCCCCUUGUGGAGACAAAAAUCCCACAGCAAGUGGAAACAGAAGUGCCUUGGAAAAAGUUC